AGUGAACGCUGGCGGCAGGCCUAACACACGCAAGUCGAGCGGCAGCGCGUCCGACCACCCUCGGGUGGUCGGAUGGCGGCGAGCGGCGGACGGGUGAGGAAUGCAUCGGAAUCUGCCUCGUUGUGGGGGAUAACGUAGGGAAACUUACGCUAAUACCGCAUACGACCUACGGGUGAAAGUGGGGGACCUUCGGGCCUCACGCGAUGAGAUGAGCCGAUGCCGGAUUAGCUAGUUGGCGGGGUAAAGGCCCACCAAGGCGACGAUCCGUAGCUGGUCUGAGAGGAUGAUCAGCCACACCGUAGAACUGAGACGACGGUCCAGACCUCCGUACGGGA
RNAcentral lists this ribosomal RNA (335 nucleotides) under uncultured bacterium. RNAcentral describes it as "bacterial SSU rRNA". It matches the Rfam family "Bacterial small subunit ribosomal RNA", at positions 28 to 346 of the family's 1533-position model. The record is from RNAcentral.